UACGUAGGGUGCGGGCGUUGUCCGGAAUUAUUGGGCGUAAAGAGCUCGUAGGCGGUGUGUCACGUCGGCCGUGAAAACCUGCAGCUUAACUGUGGGCGUGCGGUCGAUACGGGCAUCACUGGAGUUCGGCAGGGGAGACUGGAAUUCCUGGUGUAGCGGUGAAAUGCGCAGAUAUCAGGAGGAACACCGGUGGCGAAGGCGGGUCUCUGGGCCGAUACUGACGCUGAGGAGCGAAAGCGUGGGGAGCAAACAGG
RNAcentral lists this ribosomal RNA (254 nucleotides) under uncultured bacterium. Its description in RNAcentral is "partial 16S ribosomal RNA". It matches the Rfam family "Bacterial small subunit ribosomal RNA", at positions 524 to 776 of the family's 1533-position model. The record is from RNAcentral.